Molecule: ribosomal RNA, 1107 nt
Filed under: Triticum aestivum (bread wheat)
Lineage: Eukaryota; Viridiplantae; Streptophyta; Magnoliopsida; Poales; Poaceae
Description: partial small subunit ribosomal RNA
Source: RNAcentral
AUGGCCAACCAAACCGCCUCAUACGUGCUCCUGGCUCUGUGCCUGCUCGUGCUCGUGGCGAGGCACGCCGAGGGGAGGCAGCCCCGGCUCGUCCCCGCGAUCUUCGUGUUCGGCGACUCCACCGUCGACGUCGGCAACAACAACUUCCUGGGCGGCACGCGCAAGGAGGGCAGGGCCAACUUCCCGCAGUACGGCGUGGACUUCCCGACCUCCAAGCCCACCGGCCGGUUCAGCAAUGGCUUCAACACGGCAGACCGGCUAGCUCAAUUCCUUGGCUUCCCCCUGAGCCCGCCGGCGUACCUCUCCCUGAAUAGGCGUACCGUCAGAUCACAGAUGUUUAAGGGCCUCAACUUCGCUUCAGCGGGGUCCGGACUUGGGGAUCACACCGGCCGCUCAGUGGUUGGUGAAGUCAUCCCGAUGACCCAGCAGGUGGAGUCCUUCGCGACGGUUGUCAAGCACAUGUACCAGAGUUCAGGCUCGAGGAGAACGGCCAGUCUCCUCUCCAAGUCCAUCUUCUUCAUCAGUACCGGCAGCAACGACAUGUUCGAGUACUCUUUCUCCCGCAGCAACGACAGGAAGUUCUUGGCCAGUCUCGUCGCCGCCUACAAGGACUAUCUGAAGGCACUGUACCAUCUGGGCGCGAGAAAGUUCAGCAUCGUCAGCAUCCCGCCGCUGGGCUGCACUCCGUCGCAGAGGCUGCGCCGGCUGGAGCAGAUGGGCACGCAGGGCUGCUUCGACCCACUCAACGAUCUCUCGCUCCGGUCAUACCCGCUGCUGGCCGCGAUGAUGGAGGAGCUGGCCCACGAGCUGCCUGGCAUGGCCUACUCCCUUGGAGACGCCUUCACCAUGGUCUCCUUCGUCUUCGCCAACCCACAGACGCCCGACUGGAGCUUCACGGAGCUUGAGGCGGCGUGCUGCGGCGAGGGGCCGUUCGGGGCGUCAGGGUGUAACCAGACGGUCCCGCUGUGCGGCAACCGCGACAGCUACCUGUUCUGGGACGCCAACCACCCGACGCAGGCCGUGUCCACCAUCGCCGCGGAGACGCUGUUCGCCGGCAACCCCACGUUCGUCAACCCCAUCAACGUCCUCCAACUGACCAAGCUGUGA